Molecule: long non-coding RNA, 321 nt
Organism: Aethina tumida (small hive beetle)
Lineage: Eukaryota; Metazoa; Arthropoda; Insecta; Coleoptera; Nitidulidae
Exons: 2
Source: RefSeq, a predicted model, not a curated record
AAAAUGGGUUGCGGUGGCUGUUUGAUGUUUCCAGUAUGGCUAAUCCUGCUGUUGACUGUGGCCUUUCCAAUUGCAUUUUUUAUGGCACCCGUUUACGUUUUAAUCCUCACAUUCAGCGAGAUUUGUUGUGGGACCUGUAAUGAAUGCAGUGAAUUUGUCCUGAAAUGUAUGAAGUUACCAGGAACAUGUGUCCACAAAAUGUAUCGAUGCGAAGGAUGUUGAUCUAAUUUAUUUAAUUUACCUCACAUUUCCAAAUAUUUAUUCUGUUUAUUACUAUUUUAUUGAUAAAAUGAUUCAAACAAUAAAUAUAUAUAUUUUUUA